GCCGGGCGUGGUGGUGCAUGCCUGUAGUCCCAGCUACUCGGGAGGCUGAGGCAGGAGAAUCGCUUGAACCCAGGAGGCGGAGGUCACAGUGAGCCAAGGUCAUGCCACUGCAUUCCAGCCUGGGCAACAGAGUGAGACUCUGUCUCAA
Molecule: non-coding RNA, 148 nt
Filed under: Gorilla gorilla gorilla (western lowland gorilla)
Lineage: Eukaryota; Metazoa; Chordata; Mammalia; Primates; Hominidae
Source: Rfam by way of RNAcentral